CUUUUACAGAGAAGAUUGAAGAUUUUUUAGAAUCGGUCCCAGAAGACAUCACGGCACAUCGUUCGAUGGUCGACCGUUUGCGCUUCGGAUUCGAAUCUUUUAGAUUUAAAAAGGCGGCUGCUGAUGAAGACGUUGGUGCGUUGUUGGAGGCGGUUCCGGCGGAGGCAGGAGGUGGCGCCGGAGGGAGAGGAGUUCGGUGCCGCUGGAGGAGCGGGGGCUCGACGAAUCGGAGGAGAGAGCCCCCGAAGUUGAGGGACCGUGCUGUCCGUGGUUUUGUUGCUGCGGACGGCUGCGGUUGCCUUGGCCUAGGCGGUGAUCUUCUUCGACUUCCUCUUCUUCACCCGGAUGCGACUUUCUUACCGGAUUCGACACUUUUCACCCGGACAUGACAUCUUUUAACGGACGUGACCUCUUUUACCCGGACGUGACCCACGGACUUGACACGUUUCUUCACCGGACGCGACAUUCGGCCGACCUUUCUUCCCAAACAGCUGUUAUGAGGAUUGAGCUUCCGGUUAGGGUUCGUUAGGUUAGCCUAGGCUAGGUCAGGUCCUUCGCUCUUCUCAUAACACUGUUCGGGAAGAAAGGCUGUCUGAUUAAGGUAAUAAUCUUGACCUUAGGUAAUAAAUGAAUAAACUUCUCGUUUUCUCACUGCCUUUGUGUUUUGUAGGAACAUUUGGGAGGGAGAAGAAUCUCCCUCCCCAACUUUACCACGAAGAGGACCAAGUGGCCAUUUACCGUACAAGUGAAUAUUUUCCGAUGACAUGCCGAAGAUGUUCUUCGAUCACACACAUACACACAUACGCACGUACAUAACACCACUGUACACGAAGAUAUACACCGUUUAACCUUUACUCGAAUUCUCGCACUCACGCACUUACACGUCAAGCGCCUCGUUCUGUGUAAUUCGACACAAUGAAACAACCCGAGCACACGCUUCCCACAAAUCCAGCCCCUGGGUCUCGUCCCGGGAAGUGGAAACGCCAAUUUUAAAGAUUAAAAGACUUUAAAUUGGCGGCCGAAGGGGCUCUGGUAAUUACAAUUUGCACUCAUUAGACAGAAUUUUAGGUAUUCGCUGCAAGAAUCGAUUUGUGAUGACAGCCGAAUCUGAAUUUUCGACACUUUGAAAACUAUUAAGAAAUUACGUAUGUAUGUAACAAAAAUAAGAAAUGGUUUGUUAUCCC
Long non-coding RNA from Centruroides sculpturatus (bark scorpion), 1184 nucleotides. RefSeq lists it as uncharacterized. Lineage: Eukaryota; Metazoa; Arthropoda; Arachnida; Scorpiones; Buthidae. The transcript is spliced from 4 exons. The record is from RefSeq and is a predicted model, not a curated record.